CGUCACCUGCGCAACUGGCGAUGGGGCGUCACGAACCGAGCGUUCGCGAGCCUGAGGUGGUGAACCACCGGGAAGCGCAGGCGGCAGGGGCAACAGCCCCCGUCGUUUCAGCCGUUCGCCUGGGCAGCCCUG
This 132-nucleotide non-coding RNA is filed under the name Rhizobacter gummiphilus. RNAcentral's name for it is "ZTP sequence". It matches the Rfam family "ZMP/ZTP riboswitch aptamer (pfl RNA motif)". From Rfam's summary of the family: Previously known as pfl RNA. ZMP is also known as AICAR. Lineage: Bacteria; Pseudomonadati; Pseudomonadota; Betaproteobacteria; Burkholderiales; Sphaerotilaceae. The record is from Rfam by way of RNAcentral.